RNAcentral lists this ribosomal RNA (671 nucleotides) under uncultured Acidobacteriota bacterium. RNAcentral describes it as "bacterial SSU rRNA". It matches the Rfam family "Bacterial small subunit ribosomal RNA", at positions 60 to 763 of the family's 1533-position model. The record is from RNAcentral. Lineage: Bacteria; Pseudomonadati; Acidobacteriota.
AGUCGAACGAGAAAGUGGAGCAAUCCAUGAGUACAGUGGCGUACGGGUGAGUAACACGUGGGUGAUCUACCUCUUAGUGAGGAAUAACCCUGGGAAACCGGGGCUAAUACCGCAUAAGCCUGAGAAGGGAAAGCAGCAAUGCGCUGAGAGAGGAGCCCGCGGCCGAUUAGCUAGUUGGUGGGGUAAAGGCCCACCAAGGCAGAGAUCGGUAGCCGGCCUGAGAGGGCACACGGCCACACUGGCACUGAAACACGGGCCAGACUCCUACGGGAGGCAGCAGUGGGGAAUCUUGCACAAUGGGGGAAACCCUGAUGCAGCGACGCCGCGUGAGCGAUGAAGCCCUUCGGGGUGUAAAGCUCUUUCGUCAGGGAAGAUCAUGACGGUACCUGGAGAAGCAGCUGCGGCUAACUACGUGCCAGCAGCCGCGGUAAUACGUAGGCAGCAAGCGUUGUUCGGAGUUACUGGGCGUAAAGGGUGUGUAGGCGGUUCUUUAAGUUUGGUGUGAAAUCUCCCGGCUCAACCGGGAGGGUGCGCCGAAUACUGAGGGACUAGAGUGUGGGAGAGGAAAGUGGAAUUCCUGGUAUAGCGGUGAAAUGCGUAGAUAUCAGGAGGAACACCGGUGGUGUAGACGGCUUUCUGGACCAUAACUGACGCUGAGACACGAAAGCGUG